AACGCGAAGAACCUUACCUACCCUUGACAUGUACGGAAUUCUGCUGAGAGGUGGAAGUGCUCGAAAGAGAACCGUAACACAGGUGCUGCAUGGCUGUCGUCAGCUCGUGUCGUGAGAUGUUGGGUUAAGUCCCGCAACGAGCGCAACCCUUGUCAUUAGUUGCUACGAAAGGGCACUCUAAUGAGACUGCCGGUGACAAACCGGAGGAAGGUGGGGAUGACGUCAAGUCCUCAUGGCCCUUAUGGGUAGGGCUUCACACGUCAUACAAUGGUACAUACAGAGGGCUGCCAACCCGCGAGGGGGAGCUAAUCCCAGAAAGUGUAUCGUAGUCCGGAUUGGAGUCUGCAACUCGACUCCAUGAAGUUGGAAUCGCUAGUAAUCGCGGAUCAGCAUGUCGCGGUGAAUACGUUCCCGGGCCUUGUA
This 423-nucleotide ribosomal RNA is filed under the name uncultured beta proteobacterium. Its description in RNAcentral is "bacterial SSU rRNA". It matches the Rfam family "Bacterial small subunit ribosomal RNA", at positions 958 to 1385 of the family's 1533-position model. The record is from RNAcentral. Lineage: Bacteria; Pseudomonadati; Pseudomonadota; Betaproteobacteria.